GGAUGGCGAGUUUGAUCCUGGCUCAGGAUAAACGCUGGCGGCGUGCCUAACACAUGCAAGUCGAACGAGUUCCCCUCCUUCGGGAAGGGAGCGAGUGGCGGACGGGUGAGUAAGACGUGGGUCACCUACCUUUCAGUGAGGGAUACCGGCGAGAAAUCGCCGACAAUCCCGCAUACGCUUCGCGUUCUGGAACGAGCGCCAAGCAAAGCUCUGCAAAGGGCGCUGGGAGAUGGGCCCGCGGCCGAUUAGCUGGUUGGUGGGGUAAGAGCUCACCAAGGCGACGAUCGGUAGCUGGUCUGAGAGGACGAUCAGCCACACUGGGAUUGAGAACGGCCCAGACUCCUACGGGGGGCAGCAGUGAGGAAUUUUCGGCAAUGGGGGCAAGAGCAAGGACGGUACCAGAGGAACAAGCCCCGGCUAACUACGUGCCAGCAGCCGCGGUAAUACGUAGGGGGCGAGCGUUGUCCGGAGUUACUGGGCGUAAAGCGCACGCAGGCGGUGCUGCGCGUUUGGGGUUACAGCUCCCGGCUCAACCGGGAGAGCGCCUCGAAGACGGCAGCACUUGAGGGCCAGAGAGGGACACGGAACUCCGGGUGGAGUGGUGAAAUGCGUAGAUAUCCGGAAGAACACCAAAGGCGAAGGCAGUGUCCUGGCUGGUACCUGACGCUCAGGUGCGAAAGCUAGGGGAGCGAACGGGAUUAGAUACCCCGGUAGUCCUAGCCGUAAACGAUGACCACUAGGUGUGCGGGGUAUCGACCCCCUGCGUGCCGCAGCCAACGCAAUAAGUGGUCCGCCUGGGGAGUACGGUCGCAAGAUUAAAACUCAAAGGAAUUGACGGGGACCCGCACAAGCAGCGGAGCGUGUGGUUUAAUUCGAAGCAACGCGAAGAACCUUACCAGGGCUUGACAUGCCGCUGCACCUCCUGGAGACAGGAGUCCCUUCGGGGCGGCGGCACAGGUGCUGCAUGGCUGUCGUCAGCUCGUGCCGUGAGGUGUUGGGUUAAGUCCCGCAACGAGCGCAACCCCUGUCGUCGGUUGGAUCUCUCCGACGAGACUGCCGCGAUCAACGUGGAGGAAGGUGGGGAUGACGUCAAGUCAGCACGGCCCUUACAUCCUGGGCGACACACACGCUACAAUGGUCGGGACAGAGGGGAGCCAACCCGCGAGGGGGAGCCAAUCCCAGCAAACCCGAUCUCAGUUCGGAUUGGAGGCUGAAACCCGCCUCCAUGAAGGUGGAGU
Molecule: ribosomal RNA, 1238 nt
Filed under: Chloroflexota bacterium
Lineage: Bacteria; Bacillati; Chloroflexota
Description: bacterial SSU rRNA
Rfam family: Bacterial small subunit ribosomal RNA
Source: RNAcentral